RNAcentral lists this transfer RNA (79 nucleotides) under Accumulibacter sp. Its description in RNAcentral is "Candidatus Accumulibacter sp. tRNA-Cys". The record is from RNAcentral. Lineage: Bacteria; Pseudomonadati; Pseudomonadota; Betaproteobacteria.
UUGGCUGGCGGCGCGCAUCGCCGGCGCCGCCGCCUGCAGCGCGGCGAACUCGCCGGCUUCGAUGGCGCGCAGCCGCACC